Molecule: long non-coding RNA, 145 nt
Organism: Thalassophryne amazonica
Lineage: Eukaryota; Metazoa; Chordata; Actinopteri; Batrachoidiformes; Batrachoididae
Exons: 2
Source: RefSeq, a predicted model, not a curated record
GCAAACUAAAAUAACGUGAACAGAAGCACAAUGUGCAAACUAAAAUAAAGGAAAAGUGAACAGAACCACAAUGUGCAAACUAAAAUAAAGGAAUAUGAACAGAAACACAAUGUGCAAACUAAAAUAAAGGAAUAGUGAACAGAAA